Molecule: long non-coding RNA, 275 nt
Filed under: Homo sapiens (human)
Lineage: Eukaryota; Metazoa; Chordata; Mammalia; Primates; Hominidae
Description: non-protein coding lnc-PCYT1B-1:1
Source: RNAcentral
GGGCACAGUGGCUCACGCCUGUAAUCCCAGCACUUUGGGAGGCCAAGACAGGCGGAUCACGAGGUAAGGAGUUCGAGACCAGCCUGGCCAACAUAGUGAAACCUAGUCUCUAGUAAAAAUACAAAAUAUUAGCCGGGCGUGGUGGCAGGUGCCUGUAAUCCUAGCUACUCGGGAGGCUGAGGCAGGAAUCAGGGAAGAGGAACCUGGGAAUCAGAGGUUGCAACGAGCCAAGAUCGCACCACUGCACACCAGCCUGGGCAACAGUGCAAGCUACU